This 442-nucleotide long non-coding RNA is filed under the name Mytilus galloprovincialis (Mediterranean mussel). Lineage: Eukaryota; Metazoa; Mollusca; Bivalvia; Mytilida; Mytilidae. The record is from RNAcentral.
GACACAAAUUUAUAAUAUAUAUUUUAUACAUCAGUUCUGCACAAAAAUCCUCAUGGUGAUAUCAAUUUUUUUCUUUGAAUAGAUACUUUUUUUGGAAAAGGCAUUUGUAUCGUUGAUGUUGGAUUAAGUAUAAAAAAGUAUUUACAAGAGCAGGAUCUACAAAUAAUUUGUUUAUCGCUUGUUGUAUAAUUAAAUAAAUCUAUUUCACUAUAUGCUAAUAAAUGGAUUCCCCCAGAAAGAGUUUGUAGCAAACAUUGUUAUUAGUUAGCAUAGAGAAUGGGAUAUUAUUUCUCGAUAUAUCUACCAAGUCCUUUGUCUUUAUAAUCAGGAAAUUAGUUACCUCAUUAUAAUUAGUAAUUGAAGAAAAAAUCCAUAAUAAAGAAACUAUAUCAGUCUAAAAUAUUCUGUAAAUUAAAGUAACCAGAGAAAACUAGAACUUAUU